CUCUUAGAUGUUCUGGGCCGCACGCGCGCUACACUGAUGCAUUCAACGAGUCUAAAACCUGCUCUGAUAGGGGUGGGUAAUCUUUUGAAUGUGCAUCGUGAUUGGGAUAGAUGAUUGCAAUUUUUCAUCUUCAACGAGGAAUGCCUAGUAAACGCAAGUCAUCAGCUUGCAUUGAUUACGUCCCUGCCCUUUGUACACACCGCCCGUCGCUCCUACCGAUUGAAUGAUCCGAUGAAUAUCAUGGAUUGAGGAUGCAAGUAGGUUCGCCUAUCUUCAUCUUCGAGAAGUGAAGUAAAUCUUAUCAUUUAGAGGAAGGAGAAGUCGUAACA
RNAcentral lists this ribosomal RNA (329 nucleotides) under uncultured eukaryote. RNAcentral's name for it is "partial 18S ribosomal RNA". It matches the Rfam family "Eukaryotic small subunit ribosomal RNA", at positions 1470 to 1796 of the family's 1831-position model. The record is from RNAcentral.